GACGAACGCUGGCGGCGUGCUUAACACAUGCAAGUCGAACGGUAAGGCCCUUCGGGGUACACGAGUGGCGAACGGGUGGGUAACACGUGGGUGAUCUGGUCUGCACUUCGGGAUAAGCCUGGGAAAAUGUGUCUAAUACCGGAAAGGUCUACUGCCUGUACGGGUGGUGGGGGAAACCUGUUGCGGUGUGGGAUGGGACCGCGGCCUAUUAGCUUGUUGGUGGGGUGAUGGCUUACCAAGGCGAGGACGGGUAGCCGGCCUGAGAGGGUGACCGGCCACACUGGGACUGAGAUACGGCCCAGACUCCUACGGGAGGCAGCAGUGGGGAAUAUUGCACAAUGGGCGCAAGCCUGAUGCAGCGACGCCGCGUGAGGGAUGACGGCCUUCGGGUUGUAAACCUCUUUCAGCACCGACGAAGCGCAAGUGACGGUAGGUGCAGAAGAAGGACCGGCCAACUACGUGCCAGCCGCCGCAGUAA
This 478-nucleotide ribosomal RNA is filed under the name uncultured bacterium. Its description in RNAcentral is "partial 16S ribosomal RNA". It matches the Rfam family "Bacterial small subunit ribosomal RNA", at positions 28 to 523 of the family's 1533-position model. The record is from RNAcentral.